Long non-coding RNA from Glycine soja, 535 nucleotides. RefSeq lists it as uncharacterized. NCBI's taxonomy places the organism in Eukaryota, Viridiplantae, Streptophyta, Magnoliopsida, Fabales, Fabaceae. The record is from RefSeq and is a predicted model, not a curated record. The transcript has 2 exons.
AACUUAGGAAGGUAAUUGUUUAAGCAAUUCUAGGAAUUUUCACGUGCUAACUUAUGAGGAUCAAGAAGGGGACUGGAUGAUGGUUGGAGAUGUGUCGUGGGAGAUGUUCUUGAACAGUGUGAAGAGGCUGAAGAUCACAAGAGCUUACAGAUGCUAGUUAAUUUAAUAAUGUAUACAAUCUCUCUCACAACACAAGCUCCUCCUCAAUUUUCAUUGUUCAUAAAUUUUUGCUGUAGAUCUAGUUAUUAAUUAGUGGGUUGGUGAAACUCGUUGAAGUAUUUCACCAAAAAGAAUGGAUCCCGUGAUUAUCAUAUAUCUAAUAGCUUUAUACACCAAAAAACAAUAUAGAUGUGUAACUUCUUACCUAAUUCUCAAUUCAGUACAUAGCUGCAUUAUUCUUAGUCUCUCUGUUUGAUGAUGGAGUCAUCUAAUUUUCCUCUUUGUUUUGGAACUAGCUCCAUUAUUUUGUAGUCAUUUGGAACAAUGCAUCUCCCUUUUGUCUUCAUACCUUUAAUGCAUGAUGUUUCUUGGUGUC